Bubalus bubalis (water buffalo) is the source of this 2727-nucleotide long non-coding RNA. RefSeq lists it as uncharacterized. NCBI's taxonomy places the organism in Eukaryota, Metazoa, Chordata, Mammalia, Artiodactyla, Bovidae. The record is from RefSeq and is a predicted model, not a curated record. The transcript has 2 exons.
CAACCUGCAACUCGGGAGAGAGAAAGAGGAGACGCUUAGCAUUUAGUAUAUACUUAACAUUAUGAUGUUCCACUUGGACUUGGCUGACCCUAAAUAGCUCUGUGACCUUGACCAGAUCACCUGACCCUGUAUUUCUUAGUCCGUAAAAGGGGUAUAAUUGGUCUCACUGGCCUGUGUGAAAGAUAAAUAUUAUAAUGUACUUAAUAAAAUGGAAGCGAUUAUGAACAAUAGAAUGACCAGCAGUUGUUGAGAGCUCUGAAAGGCCUUCCCAGACAUUAUCUCACCAAUCACCACACCAGCCUUGUGACUUAGGUGUUACUUUCAACACUCCUGUGUAGGUCAGGAAAGCACAUCCAGAGCUAGUCCAGAAUUAUUGAAAACCAGGUUCUCUGGCUCUAAAUCCAGUGUUCCUUCUUCUGAUCCAGUGGUGCCAGCCUUUUUUGGAGGGUGGGGGUCGGGGUACCCUACCUGUCUGUAAGAAACUGCAAGAAAGUUAAAAUGUCUCUCCUGCAGAAAUUUCCAGUUGAAGAAUGCCACUACCGUGCCAGUAGAUGGGAGAUUAUGCACAAAUUAGCACUAGUUCUGGGGGAGUUAAAAUCAGUCACCAUUCAUCUUUGAGCAAAAUUGUGUAGCCAUGAUUCCCAGGCAUCCCCUGAGACCUUCCUGGGUAUUCUAUACCCUGCCUCUAGGUAGAGGUGAUGGAGGAAAAUCUGAAGCUGUAGCACAUGCUGAAGUAUUUAGGAACUUACUGAGUUCCCCUUAUUGAGGAUAGCUAUUGAUAGAUUUUAAAUGUCUACACCUGAGAAGGACCCCCAGGCUGCAUGAUGAAAGAGAAGGAAGUGGAGAAGAUCCACUUAUGGUGGAAGUAGCCUCUUUCCAAACCCGGAUGUCAAGUAACAACUUUGCUUUCACCAGAUUCAGGUAAUACGGACUCUGUGCAGCCACCCAAUAGGUACUGUCCUGUACUUGGUCUGGGGGGCCACUUGAUGACUAUGGCAGGCUACUCCUCAAAGCACUUCUAGCAUAGGAGAGGCCUGUACCUUGAUAAUCAAGCCUGGCAUAGGUACCACAGGAGCUGGAAAUCAAGGGAAUAAGAUAGCCCUCAACCCUGACGCAUCUAGAGGACCGCCAUCUGGAUAACCUCAACUUCUCUCUGUGGCCAGACCCAGAGGAUUCAAGCCUGGUGUGUCUGGAUGAGUGUGAAGCUAUUCUCAUCACUUAUAUUUUGUUUCAAAGCUGAAACUUGGGUGCCAGAGGGCCUAGUGGGUUUCCAUCUCCUAGCUCCUAAACGUGUGCCCUUCCAUUGCCAUUCAUUAGGUUACUCAACUAUUUAGAGAAUACUUUCUCAGCCCUAGGGAUCUAAUGAUGAAUGAAAACAGACUGACUCUAGUCCAGAAUCUAGAAGCUUCCAUUUACUCCUAGGUGUCCUAGUUUUCCUGAAGAAAAAGCCCCAAAGUCAUCAGAGACAGUGCUUGUACAACACACUCCCACCAGCCACAUGACUGACAUACAGCAAUCUGUUUAUUUUCUAGAGGCCCAGUUUCCUCAUCUGCCAAAUGUCGAUAUUACCUAUUUUCCAAACUUUGGGGGCUUACACUUCCUUCCCAUCGAUGGUCUCAGAGCUCUCACCGCGGACACCCGAGAUUGAGAUUCGAGGAAAGCUCCGGAAAAGACUCGGCUCUCAGUAACAACCCUCUUCCCCAAGGCUCUUGGAAAGGCUGGAUCUGAACAACGCUGCCUGCAUGACCUCAAUUCCCCAACCUAAAUGAAAGCUGAGAAGCACCCAACCGAAACCCGCACCCCCCACCCCAACCACCCUACGGGGGGGGGGGGGGGGGGGGGGGGAGGGGUGCGGUCCCGUACUCAGGGUGUCUACAAGUCUACUCAGGGUGUCUACAGUCCUGAAGCUGCUUUUAUUUUUAUUAAUGUAUUUUUCAGGCCGAAAAAAGGCACAUGCACGCACGCACACCGCACACAGGUUCACACCCAGUGGGUUCUGGCAGGUACAGAGGAGACCCGGUGCUCCAGACUGUAAAGUGUCUUGAUCCCAGCCUGGCCUCCCUCCCCCAGUGAUUAAUAAAAGACCGGCCAUGGGGAGCCGGCGUUCUGGUUUUCAUUGUACAGGCUGCACUGGGUGACACAGGACAUGUGGAAAAUUUUUGAGAGCGCUGCUGCGGUGAAUGGCGUGGAGGGGGGGAGGGAGCGUGGGGAGGGGGAGGGGAACGAGUUACUUUUUAGCUUCCGCUAAGCACUUGGCAGCGCGCCAGGCCCGAAGGAUUCUGGGAAGCGAGAGCCUCCCCGGUAUAAACUGCCAGCUCUAAGCAGCCCUGACAGCUCUGCUCCUUCCCAAACCUGGCAGCCGUUCAAAGUGCUCUUUCAUUCGGGAUGCUGGAAGCCUGCCAUGUGCAAUGCAGAUUUCGCUGUGCCUGUGCGCAGAAGGAACUGAUAAAUGCCGUUGCGGUUGCCAUGGGGACGGGAGGCUAUCAGAAUGGCCUUGUGAUCCGCAGCCUCCUCGCGGCGCGGCAGGCUCUCGCUCCGCGCUCCCGCCCCGCCUCCCGCGAGUCGGUGAGAUGGUGAAAUCAAUGUUCUGGAAAAAAAGGUUAACCCUCCCCGCUCUGGUGCCGAGCUUCGUGAGCCUCUGAGCACUUCCCUGGCCUUCAGUGCCACCGGCAGCCCCAAGGGCCUCCUUAACCCUGGGCAGGUCACCAUACCCUCCAAACCCCCCAC